Manis pentadactyla (Chinese pangolin) is the source of this 2248-nucleotide long non-coding RNA. RefSeq lists it as uncharacterized. The record is from RefSeq and is a predicted model, not a curated record. The transcript is spliced from 3 exons. Lineage: Eukaryota; Metazoa; Chordata; Mammalia; Pholidota; Manidae.
UCCCAGGGUUCUGAACUUCAAACUUUUGAUCAAGCUACAGAUGUUUGGUUGUUCUUCACCCCGGUGUACCAAGCUGGAAUGGUCAACUUACUGAAGUGAAGUCCUCAGGCUGUCCAGGGCCCAGUUCCACCAUGCAUUUUCCAUAUGCAAUCUACUUUAUGUUUCUGCUGAGGGGUUUAGCUUCUGCAAGCAAUCCUUCACAUCAUCUCUAAAGCACACUCAAGAGUAUAAAAUUAUUUGUUUUCUGGUUUCCUGAUCGUCUUUCAUGUAUGAUCUAACCUGUAGUUAUUGCCUUUUAGGAUACCCAAGGGCAACAAGUAAACUUUUCUCAAAACAAAUAAACAAUAAUGCAGCUUUAUUCAUAAUUGCCAAAACUUGGAAGCAACCAAGAUGUCCUUCAGCAGAUGAGUGGGUAUAUGAAUCGUACAGCUAGACAAUGGAAUAUUAUUCGGCACUAAAAAGAAAUGCGCUAUCAAGCCAUGAAAAGACACAGAGAAACAUUAAAUGCAUUAUUACUAAGUGACAGAAGCUGAUUCAAAAAGACUUCAUAUCUGCUUCCAACUAGAUAUGACAUUAUGGACAAGGCAGACUAUGGAGACAGUAAAAAGACCAGUGGCUGCAAGGGGUUCAGAGUCAGGGGAAGGGAUGAAUAGGCAGAACACAGGAUUUUUAGGGUAGGGAAAAUAUUCUUCAUGAGACUAUAAUGAUGGGUACAUGUCAUUAGACAUUUGUGCACAUCCAUAGAACAUGCAACACCAAGAGUCCCCUGGUUAAAUCUCCAAACUCCUGUGGAGCCUCUUUCCUCCUCACUCCUGAUAUCCUGCCACAGGGUCUCUCCUGGAAUGUGAGAAACCUUCCCAACUCAGGACCUUUGUCCAAUACCUUUCAUCUGGCGUAUUCUCAUCUAUCCUCUAGGUUCCACUUCGAUGUAUCUUCCUUGGCCUGGCCUUCCUUGACCUCAGCCCAGAUCAGAAUCACCUGUAUUCUGUCUUCUUGUACUAUGCUCCUCACAGGGACACUCUAACACCAUUUAUGUAUUAGUUUACUGUUCCAGUUGGGUUAGCUGGCAAAUUUCAGGAGCGUCUGGAAAGCAUUUGUCUUUUCACUGACAUACUUCCAGCACCUAGCCCAGGGUCCAACUGGAUGGAGUAGGUGCUCAGGUGUCAUAGGUUAAAUGAGUGAAUAAAUGGCCUCUGUGGGAUUGAUGCUAUUAGUUCAGAGUAGUUUAGUGAUUCACCUGCUACCACACAGCUAGCAAAUGGACAUAAAUGGAUGAGACCUUAGAAUUGACAGCUCCUAGGUGAAUACACGAUCUAGGGAAGUAUUUGUUAGGGGGAUGGAAGACUGCGAUCCCGGCAGGCUGCAUGUCCCGCCCCUCCCCAACAAAUUCACCUUCACCUCCCUCAGUCUGCACGUCUCUUCUCAGACUCCACAUGCCCCCACCGCAGCCCCCGAAAGCUCCACUUCACCGCACAUCACCCCCAUAGGCUUCACGUCACUUCGCAGUCUCACUUCACCCUCCGGAUGGCGAGAAGCAAGUGUGGAAGGCGCGCGUGAGCAGAAUUCUUUGCGAAGCCUGGAGGAGCUGCAGAAGGAGGCGUAGAACCGCUUCCCAGCAGAGGGCGCCAGAGAGCCACGGCGCCGCCGGCCGGGACGCGCGCAGGCACAGGGGCCGCCUUCGCGCCCGGCUUGCUUCCCGGCAGGGAGCAACUGGCUAAACUGCAAAUUGGAGCUCGGGGCCCCUAAACGCACGCCACCUACCUGCCCCUCCAGGCAACACUCCACCUACAUCAUGGCCCCGCCUCGGCCGCGUAUGCUCUGCGGCGGGCCCCAAGCACCGCAACUGGAGGGCAGCAAGAAAGCCCAUAGUAGACAUCUAACCCCAAGCACCGGCUAUUUGAAGUUGCAGCAGACGCGGUGACCCAGGGCCCAGGUUCUGGGAAGAAGAUCCGAUUCCUCCACGGACCCCAGCUCUAUCCCCAACAAGGGUAUUCCUGUGGAUCCCAGCGCAGAAUCUCAUCUACAUCAUACACGACGUGGAGCUUCUCCUCGGGUGCAGCGUCCAGGAUCCUGGCGUCACUAAAUGGAGUCGACGAAGACCGGUCCAGGUCAAUGCUUGGACCGGGACAGGUGCUUUGGCGAACAUAGAAGACAAACGUCCAUUCCUUGGGGUGGGGGUGACUUACUUGCAGGUCAUGGAAUCAAAAGGUGACUACUCAAGAUGACAGAAAACCAUAAGUUGCAUCAC